AUCCCGUCCGAUCUCCGAAGUUAAACCUGUAACGGCACGGUCAGUACUGUGGUGGGAGACCACAUGGGAAUACCGUGUACUGCAGUUU
RNAcentral lists this ribosomal RNA (88 nucleotides) under Amphiamblys sp. WSBS2006. Lineage: Eukaryota; Fungi; Microsporidia; Amphiacanthidae. The record is from RNAcentral.